This 253-nucleotide ribosomal RNA is filed under the name uncultured bacterium. RNAcentral's name for it is "partial 16S ribosomal RNA". It matches the Rfam family "Bacterial small subunit ribosomal RNA", at positions 524 to 776 of the family's 1533-position model. The record is from RNAcentral.
UACGUAGGGUGCGAGCGUUGUCCGGAUUUAUUGGGCGUAAAGAGCUCGUAGGCGGUUUGUCGCGUCGUUUGUGAAAACCCGGGGCUCAACCCUGAGCUUGCAGUGGGUACGGGCAGACUAGAGUGCGGUAGGGGAGACUGGAAUUCCUGGUGUAGCGGUGAAAUGCGCAGAUAUCAGGAGGAACACCGAUGGCGAAGGCAGGUCUCUGGGCCACUACUGACGCUGAGAAGCGAAAGCAUGGGGAGCGAGCAGG